This 610-nucleotide unclassified non-coding RNA is filed under the name Hevea brasiliensis (rubber tree). Lineage: Eukaryota; Viridiplantae; Streptophyta; Magnoliopsida; Malpighiales; Euphorbiaceae. The record is from RNAcentral.
CUCAGUCACCUAGUACCCUUUCACAGAUCUAACUAUUCCACAGCCACACUGCCACCGCUAGCUGCCUCGCCGGCAUUAAGCGACCCUCCUCUCAACUUCGGUUGUCGAAUGUCGCCUAGAACUCAAGGUCCAAAUAGGUCAUUGACAACCUGAAUUUCAACCGAUUGGAGUUUCACAUCUUUCGGCCAUCUGACCCUCCACAACCCUUCUCCAGCCACCGAUCUACUCAUCUCUGUUGUCAGAACUGCCAUCCGACUUUCCAACUGGAAGAAUCCCUUUCGGGUCACAAACCCAUCUGGGCAGGCAAGGUAAGCUCACACAACUUACUGUGAGUUAGAAGCACCUAAACUACAUCUAUUUCUGCCACGUCAACAACUGCUAUGUCAUCUCCCUUUGGCCACAACACCGCCACAUUAGCAUUCCAGCCAACAAAACAGACAAUUUCCUCCUUUGCUAAUUUCAACGUCUUGGUUCCAUUUUUAACCUCCUUUCACAACAAAAGCUACUCUAAACUGCUGAAAUUUUGACUUUUUCUUCAAGUGAGGUAUGUUUUCUUAAUUCAAAUACCAUAGAAACUUAUAUUGAGAGCCCAGAAGAGGAGAUCAAUUAU